RNAcentral lists this ribosomal RNA (439 nucleotides) under uncultured bacterium. RNAcentral's name for it is "partial 16S ribosomal RNA". It matches the Rfam family "Bacterial small subunit ribosomal RNA", at positions 339 to 795 of the family's 1533-position model. The record is from RNAcentral.
CUACGGGGGGCUGCAGUGGGGAGUAUUGGACAAUGGGGGAAACCCUGAUGCAGCAACGCCGCGUGGAGGAUGACGCAUUUCGGUGUGUAAACUCCUUUUAUAUGUCAAGAAAAUGACGGUAGCAUAUGAAUAAGCACCGGCUAACUCCGUGCCAGCAGCCGCGGUAAUACGGAGGGUGCAAGCGUUACUCGGAAUCACUGGGCGUAAAGGACGCGUAGGCGGGUUGGAAAGUCAGGUGUGAAAUCCUACAGCUUAACUGUAGAACUGCACUUGAAACUUCUAAUCUAGAGUAUGGGAGGGGGAGAUGGAAUUAGUGGUGUAGGGGUAAAAUCCGUAGAUAUCACUAGGAAUACCUAAAGCGAAGGCGAUCUCCUGGAACAUUACUGACGCUAAGGCGUGAAAGCGUGGGGAGCAAACAGGAUUAGAUACCCCGGUAGUC